GGGAAUUUUCCGCAAUGGGCGAAAGCCUGACGGAGCAAUACCGCGUGAGGGAUGACGGCCUAUGGGUUGUAAACCUCUUUUUUCAGGGAGGAAUCAAUGACGUGUACCUGAAGAAUAAGCAUCGGCUAACUCCGUGCCAGCAGCCGCGGUAAGACGGAGGAUGCAAGUGUUAUCCGGAAUCACUGGGCGUAAAGCGUCUGUAGGUGGUCCUGUAAGUCUGCUGUUAAAGCGUGAGGCUUAACCUCAUACAGGCGGUGGAAACUACAGGACUAGAGUACGUUCGGGGCAGAGGGAAUUCCUGGUGUAGCGGUGAAAUGCGUAGAGAUCAGGAAGAACACCGGUGGCGAAAGCGCUCUGCUAGGCCGUAACUGACACUGAGGGACGAAAGCUAGGGGAGCGAAAGGGAUUAGAUACCCCUGUAGUCA
This 425-nucleotide ribosomal RNA is filed under the name uncultured cyanobacterium. RNAcentral's name for it is "bacterial SSU rRNA". It matches the Rfam family "Bacterial small subunit ribosomal RNA", at positions 357 to 796 of the family's 1533-position model. Lineage: Bacteria; Bacillati; Cyanobacteriota. The record is from RNAcentral.